Molecule: long non-coding RNA, 201 nt
Filed under: Elaeis guineensis (African oil palm)
Lineage: Eukaryota; Viridiplantae; Streptophyta; Magnoliopsida; Arecales; Arecaceae
Description: long non-coding RNA (EGUI_LNC077187)
Source: RNAcentral
UCUCCUUUGAUCGCCUCGAACUCUUUCGAUAUCGAAGAUAGAUCAGAAGAGGUGCUGGAUGGUAGAGAAAAAAUUAGAGAAGAACUCUCUUCUCUCUUGUAUUUUUUCUCACCCAAAAAUUCUAGAAUAAUUCUAAAUCUCUCACCCAAAGAGGAGUCAGAUCUCUUCUAUGCACACGCACCAAAGCAAUGCUGCCCACCC